AUACGGGGGGUGCAAGCGUUAUUCGGAUUUAUUGGGCGUAAAGGGCGCGUAGGCGGCUUGGUAAGUCAGAUGUGAAAGCCCGGGGCUCAACCCCGGAAGUGCAUUUGAAACUAUCAGGCUUGAGUAUGGGAGAGGGAAGUGGAAUUCCUGGUGUAGAGGUGAAAUUCGUAGAUAUCAGGAGGAACACCGGUGGCGAAGGCGACUUCCUGGACCAAUACUGACGCUGAGGCGCGAAGGCGUGGGGAGCAAACAGGAUUAGAUACCCCGGUAGUCC
RNAcentral lists this ribosomal RNA (274 nucleotides) under uncultured bacterium. RNAcentral's name for it is "partial 16S ribosomal RNA". It matches the Rfam family "Bacterial small subunit ribosomal RNA", at positions 523 to 796 of the family's 1533-position model. The record is from RNAcentral.